CCUACGGGAGGCAGCAGUGGGGAAUUUUGGACAAUGGGGGAAACCCUGAUCCAGCGAUGCCGCGUGUGUGAAGAAGGCCUUCGGGUUGUAAAGCACUUUUGUUCGGGAAGAAAUCUGUCGGGCUAAUACCCUGGCGGGAUGACGGUACCGGAAGAAUAAGCACCGGCUAACUACGUGCCAGCAGCCGCGGUAAUACGUAGGGUGCGAGCGUUAAUCGGAAUUACUGGGCGUAAAGCGUGCGCAGGCGGUUUCAUAAGACAGAUGUGAAAUCCCCGGGCUUAACCUGGGAAUUGCAUUUGUGACUGUGAGACUAGAGUGUGUCAGAGGGAGGUGGAAUUCCGCGUGUAGCAGUGAAAUGCGUAGAGAUGCGGAGGAACACCGAUGGCGAAGGCAGCCUCCUGGGAUAACACUGACGCUCAUGCACGAAAGCGUGGGGAGCAAACAGGAUUAGAUACCCCUGUAGUC
RNAcentral lists this ribosomal RNA (465 nucleotides) under uncultured organism. RNAcentral describes it as "bacterial SSU rRNA". It matches the Rfam family "Bacterial small subunit ribosomal RNA", at positions 338 to 795 of the family's 1533-position model. The record is from RNAcentral.